AAGCGGUGGAUGAUGUGGAUUAAUUCGAUGCAACGCGAAGAACCUUACUACCCUUGACAUGUCCGGAACUUGCCAGAGAUGGCUUGGUGCCCGAAAGGGAAUCGGAACACAGGUGCUGCAUGGCUGUCGUCAGCUCGUGUCGUGAGAUUGUUGGGUUAAGUCCCGCAACGAGCGCAACCCUUAUCAUUAGUUGCUACGCAAGGGCACUCUAAUGAGACUGCCGGUGACAACCGGAGGAAGGUGGGAUGACGUCAAGUCCUCAUCGGCCCUUAGUGGGUAGGGCUUCACACGUCAUACAAUGGUCGGUACAGAGGGUUGCCAAGCCGCGAGGCGGAGCCAAUCCCACAAAGCCGAUCGUAGUCCGGAUUGUUCUCUGCAACUCGAGAGCAUGAAGUCGGAAUCGCUAGUAAUCGCAGGUCAGCAUACUGCGGUGAAUACGUUCCCGGGUCUU
Molecule: ribosomal RNA, 451 nt
Filed under: uncultured Thiobacillus sp.
Lineage: Bacteria; Pseudomonadati; Pseudomonadota; Betaproteobacteria; Nitrosomonadales; Thiobacillaceae
Description: bacterial SSU rRNA
Rfam family: Bacterial small subunit ribosomal RNA
Source: RNAcentral